RNAcentral lists this ribosomal RNA (942 nucleotides) under uncultured archaeon. RNAcentral's name for it is "bacterial SSU rRNA". It matches the Rfam family "Archaeal small subunit ribosomal RNA", at positions 1 to 922 of the family's 1478-position model. The record is from RNAcentral.
UCCGGUUGAUCCUGCCGGACCCGACUGCUAUCGAAGUGGGACUAAGCCAUGCUAGUCGAACGUCCUUCAACCAUGUGAGGGGCGAGGCGUACGGCUCAGUAACACGUUGUCAACCUACCCUGAAGACGUGGAUAACCCCGGGAAACUGGGACUAAACCACGAUAGACCAAGACCCCUGGAACGGAUCUUGAUCCAAAGGAAGGAUGAGCAUGUUCAUCUAUUCGCCUCAGGAUGGGACUGCGACCGAUCAGGUUGUUGGUGGAGUAAAAGCCCACCAAGCCUAUAACCGGUACGGGCUUUGAGAGAAGGAGCCCGGAGAUGGACACUGAGACAAGGGUCCAGGUCCUACGGGGCGCAGCAGGCGCGAAACCUUCGCAAUGCACGAAAGUGCGACGAGGCUACUUCGAGUGCCGUCCGCUGAGGAUGGCUUUUGUCAGGUCUAAAUAGCCUGGAGAAUAAGGGGAGGGCAAGUCUGGUGUCAGCCGCCGCGGUAAUACCAGCUCCCCGAGUGGUCGGGACGAUUAUUGGGCCUAAGCAUCCGUAGCCUGCUCCGUUGGUCUUCUGUCAAAUUCAACGGCUUAACCGUUGAGCUGCAGGAGAUACCGCGGGGCUAGGAGGCGGGAGAGGUAGACGGUACUCCAUGGGUAGGGGUAAAAUCCUCUGAUCCAUGGAAGACCACCAGUGGCGAAGGCGGUCUACCAGAACGCGCUCGACGGUGAGGGAUGAAAGCUGGGGGAGCGAACCGGAUUAGAUACCCGGGUAGUCCCAGCUGUAAACGAUGCGAGCUAGGUGAUGGAGUGGUUCCGUACCAUUCCCAGUGCCGCAGGGAAGCCGUUAAGCUCGCCGCCUGGGGAGUACGGUCGCAAGACUGAAACUUAAAGGAAUUGGCGGGGGAGCACCACAAGGGGUGAAGCCUGCGGUUCAAUUGGAUUCAACGCCGGA